GUGGAUGUAGCUCAGUUGGUAGAGUGCUUGCCUUGCAUGCACAAGGCCUUGGGUUCAAUCCCCAGCACCAAAA
Molecule: transfer RNA, 73 nt
Filed under: Ictidomys tridecemlineatus (thirteen-lined ground squirrel)
Lineage: Eukaryota; Metazoa; Chordata; Mammalia; Rodentia; Sciuridae
Description: Spermophilus tridecemlineatus (thirteen-lined ground squirrel) tRNA
Rfam family: tRNA
About the family: Transfer RNA (tRNA) molecules are approximately 80 nucleotides in length. Their secondary structure includes four short double-helical elements and three loops (D, anti-codon, and T loops).
Source: Rfam by way of RNAcentral